AUUCUGGUAUACAAGUUGUAUUGUAUUAUAAACUGGUUACCAACAUAAUUAGAGCAGUAAAAAUAUAUGUUUGGUCAUACCCGUGGUAUAGGUCUGUGUGGAUGGAGCCCUGAAUGCUGAUUGGCUGAAAGCUGUGGUAUCAGACCGUAUACCACGGGUUUGACAAAACAGAUGUUUAUGGCUCUAAUUACAUUGGACACCUCAGGGGUUUGUUGUACAGUUGAAGUCCACACAUUUUCUAUUGGAUUCAGGUCAGGGCUUUGUGAUGACCACUCCAAUACCUUGACUUUGUUGUCUUUAAGCAGUUUUUCCACAACUUUGGAAGUAUGCUUGGGGUCAUUGUCCAUUUGGAAGACCCAUUUGUGACCAAGCUUUAUCUUCCUGACUGAUGUCUUGAGAAGUUGCUUCAAUAUAUCCACAUAAUUUUCCUUUCUAAUGAUGCCAUCUAUUUUGUGAAGUGCACCAGUCCCUCCUGCAGCAAAGCACCCCCCCACAACAUGAUGCUGCCACCCCUGUGCUUCACGGUUGGGAUGGUGUUCUUUGGCUUGCAAGCCUCCCCCUUUUUCCUCCAAACAUAACAUUGUUCAUAAUGGCCAAACAGUUCUAUAUUUGUUUCAUCAGACCAGAGGACAUUACUCCAAAAAGUAUGAUCUUUGUCCCCAUGUGCAGUUGCAAACCGUAGUCUGGCUUUUUUAUGGUGGUUUUGGAGCAGUGGCUUCUUCCUUGCUGAGUGGCCUUUUAGGUUAUGUGGAUAUAGAUACUUUUGUACCGGUUUCCUCCAGCAUCUUCACAAGGUCCUUUGCCGUUGUUCUGGGAUUGAUUUGCACUUUUCACACCAAAGUACGUUCAUCUCCAGGAGACAGAACUCAUCUCCUUCCUGAGCGGUAUGAUGGCUACGUGGUUCCAAGGUGCUUAUACUUGCGUACUAUUGUUUAUACAGAUGAACAUGGUACCUUCAGGCCUUUGGAAAUUGCUGAACCAGACUUGUGGAGGGUCUCCAAUUUUUUUUCUGAGGUCUUGGCUGAUUUCUUUUCAUUUUCCCAUGAUGUCAAGCAAAGAGGCACUGAGUUUGAAGGUAGGCCUUGAAAUACAUUCACAGGUACACCUCCAAUUGACUCAAAUUAUGUCAAUUAGCCUAUCAGAAGCUUCUAAAGCCAUGACAUAAUUUUCUGGAAUUUUCCAAGCUGUUUAAAGACACAGCCAACUUAGUGCAUGUAAACUUCUGACCCACUGGAAUUGUGAUACAGUGAAUUAUAAGUGAAAUAAUCUGUCUGUAAACAAUUGUUGGGAAAUAUUACUUGUGUCAUGCACAAAGUAGAUGUCCUAACCUUCUUGCCAAAACUACAGUUUGUCAACAAGAAAUUUGUGGAGUGGUUGAAAAACUAGUUUUAACGACUCCAACCUAAGUGUUUGUAAACUUCCGACUUCAACUGUAUAUGGCCAAUAUACCACGGCUAAGGGCUGUAUCCAGGAACUCCGCUUUGCGCCUUGCAGAAGAACAGCCCUUAGCCGUGGAAUAUUGGCCAUAUUCCACACCCGUCGUGCCUUAUUGCUUAAAUAUACCACAGCUUUUAGCCAAUCAGCAUUCAUGCCAGCUGCCAACUUAGCCUCGAGAGAUAGGAACAGCGACUGUUAGUGGCCUGUCGAGGCCACUGCCACAACUCUGUCCAGAAAAAGGAGGAAACAUUUACAGUAUAAUUUUCUUCUCCCUUGCUUGUGCCUAGCAUUUGUUAACUUCUGUCUUUAUGCAUCUGUUUCAGGACUUUCAUCAUGACUACAUGGAAGUUGAUAGAAAGAUUUAGGAGGUCAUGUUUUUUAAUGGUCAUCUGGUGGUCAUUUAAUGGUCAUUAUUAUAACUUAAAUGUCAUCAGAACCCAAAAUAUAAGCUUGUUUUAGUCCAUUGUUUGUAAACAAAGUAAUUGUAAACAAACACUGUAUUGUCUCAAAACAUUAAAACGAUAAUGUUUAUAUCAUGGAUGGUUAGUCCCUGCAUCCUUAGCUCUGUCAAUUUGAGAGUGGUUACUGGACAUUUCUCCAGCCUCAUCCCUCAAUGUGUUUACCAAAGCAAUGGCAGAGCGACAGAAUUUUCUGGCAUGUUCUCGAUUUUCACAUGGGCUUUCUCUUCUGGUCAGGUGACAACCCAGUGGUAAUAAUUUUUAUGAGGUUAGUGGCUGUUUCAGGUGGGUAAAUAUAGCAGGAGAAGGCUGCCCCAGCCGCCCUGCAGUCUGCUCUACCCAGGAGUUUGUGUGGGUAAAUAUAGCAGGAGAAGGCUGCCCCAGCCGCCCUGCAGUCUGCUCUACCCAGGAGUUUGAGCAGCUCUAGCCCCAUCCUGCCGGUGAAAAUGAUUCACUGCGUUGUCAGAACGGGCGAAACGUGCGGAGGAGUGACCGACAGAAAAGUGUUUCUCACCAUCUACGGAGACCUGGGAGACACGGGAAUGCAAACUCAGCAAGUCAGAGCAACAGCAAAAAGUUUGAAAGAGUAUGUGUGUUAUUAUUUGGUCACACUUUACAUUAAGUUGCAAAGAUACCAUGUAGUUUACCGUGUUGUUUCAUGGAAUACUAAAACCAAAGACAGCACAGUAUUGCUAAAAUCGUGUCAUUUCAAAAGGUUAACUAAUUAAUGCAAAGUGUGUCUGUUUCUGAAUUCCCUAAAGCCUCUCUCAGUCCAUCAUAGUGAUUAAGAGCAGUCAGGUUGAUUUUACUUCACUACAUGUGUCCCUUUUCUAUUUGUCUCGCCCUGGUGAAUAAGUUCUCCAUCGAGGUGGUGGAUCUCGGCCAGGUGUUUAAGAUCCGUAUCCGCCACGACAACUCGGUUAGUGCUAUCCGGGAAUCCUUGGGACGUCCCUACCCUACACCCUAACCAUAACCAUAACCCCUACCCUUACCCUAACCUUAACCCUUACUUCAAUGGGGUGAUGUCAGAGUUGGGACGUCCCAAGGAUCCCGUUUAGACUUUUGCCAGAGAGGAAGUAGAGCUUUUGUGGUAGUCUACCUCUCACUCUGUCUCUUUUUCUCUCCCACGGCUGGGUGAUAAUAGCGCCACCCCAGAGAGCUGCUGGUUGGUGGAUGAGCUGUCGGUUGUCGUGCCGACAGAAGGCAUCAAGUACAUCUUCCAGUGUAAGUGCUGGUUGGCCAAGGACAGAGGCAAUGGUCUCAUCACAGACUGUUCAACAUACUAGACACCAACAUCAUCCGGAAGGCACGGGCACUGAUGCCAACUUGUUCCAGAUAGUAUUUGGGAAUUACAGGGACACUGGUACGCUGGCACUGAAGGAGGGCGGUAAGCAGAUACAAGUUUGAGUGAAAGUCCAAAGAUGUGUUCCGCUUCCCAGACAUCCUCAUCUUGGGAGAGUAGUCCAAGAUCUGCGUGUGGCACGACAACAAGAGUCCUGCCCCAGGUUGGCACCUGGAGUACAUCAAUGUGAUAGAUGAGACCAUGGGCCAGAAUUUCCGUUUCCCAUGUGACCCCUGGCUGGCCAAGCAUGUCGACGACGGGCCGAUCAUGAGAGAGCUGGCCUGCGCCAACAACUACAUCCUGGUCUUCAGUGACAAGACCAAUGAGUUAACCUCUGACCCUGAUGUAGGCUAGUGAUGACAUGACCAAAGAUGUUAUAUGAAUGAAGAUGUCCCACUGGGCACAGUUGUCAGUUCAAUGCCUCGUUUUGAUUUACAUUUGUUUGUCAACUAACGUGAAUUCAACAUGAAAUCCCUCCCAAAAUUCACCAUGUCAUUGGAUUUAGGUUAAAAAAGACAAAAUGCCCUAACAUGGAUGACUUUUUGCUAAUCCAAUUAGUUUUACAAGUUGAUUCAAUGUUGGGGUGAUGUGAUGUGGAAACAAUGUUGAAUCAACCAGUUUAUUCCCAUUGGGGUACCACUCAGACCGUUUGCUAUUGAACAACAAUUGUCUGGGGUGAAAAAAAAGAAAUGAGGUAAAACUGAUUUAAGUUGCCCUGCAUUAAAGUCCCCGGCCACUAGGAGCGCCGCCUCUGGAUGAGCGUUUUCCUGUUUGCUUAUGGCAGAAUACAGCUCAUUGAGUGCGGUAUUACUACCAGCCUCGUCUAUCGUGGCAUGUAGACAGCUAUGAAAAAUACAGAUGAAAACUCUCUAGGUAAAUACAUUUUUUGAAAAAUGUAAUCAUCCUUAAAACAGGUCUUUUCAGCAUUUUAGGGAGUUUAUUUGAAAAACACAUAGAAAAAGAUCAUAUACAAUCAGACAAUAAAUAAAACAGGAGACAGAACAGUUUGGGUUAAGCUAUGCAAGUUUUUGCAUCCUCAUUAGUAAUAAAUACAGUACAAAAUCCAUCAAAAGUGAACCUAAAGAUUUUCCACAACAUUCACCGAUCCAUGUUAUUCUUCAUUAUAAUGUAGCUAUUGCUUUUCAUGUUAUUGGUAAAUACUUCUAGUGUCUAUAAAAUACUCCAGCUCAUAACACAUUGCGCAGUUACAGCAAAACAACAGUGUGUUGUACAAAGAUGGCCACUUCCCUUUAAUCACUGGCAGGUUAGUUUAAACAGUUUAUCAGCAGCAAAGAAACAUAUCUGUAAUAUUCAAGAAGGUACAGCCUCAUAUUAAACACGUCUACAGCUUCACCCAUGUGCACAUAUGAAAACCUGAGGAGGACAUGCAUUAGAAAGCUUGUGCUUUAGGAUUCUACUGUUCAUUCCCCUUCACCAGCUUGAGUUAUUAUACUAUACACUUUUAGCAGUAACAACCCAGUAUACGGUCUGCAGAGGACAAAGGUAAGGCCAGGUUGUCACUAUUUACCACAUCCAAAGUCAUAAAAACUCUGUCUACUUCUACAAUUUCUCAUGUCCUGAUGAUGGUCAACUGACCGAAAGCUCAGCUAAAAUUAAAAUACAUUUACAUCUGACUGGAAGUGUGCAGAGACUUUUUCCUGUUUCUACAAUUGAUCUUUUAAAAUGUGAUUCUAAACUUUACCCGGUCCACACUACUAACCUUAUGCCAAACCUUAAAUUAAUACCAAAAAUAUGAUUUUUGUUUUCAUACAUUUUUAUUAUAAAGCCAAUUUUGACUUUGUGGCUGUGGUAACUAGAGACAACCAUAAGGCCAGGAGUUUUUUCCAGACCAUGUGACCUGACCAGGAAGUAGACAUGGGGUAAAGACAGUGACAGCAGGAAAAAUUAAAAUAAGACCAGUCAGCUUCAUUCCAAUGAGAUAUAUGUAAGAUGAAUACAUUGUUAUUAUUAAGAAAAUGCACACAGAAAACAGGUGGUUGGCUUAUUAUACCCAGGUGUAAAACUACUACCUAGAGUAUCACACCAGAAAAACACAAGAUCAAUAGCUCAAGUUUAUCAUGUUAGCCACCUUCCUAACCUAACCACACAAACACAGCAUUUGCCAGCAAUACAAAGUACCUAAUAAUGCAGUUAUUAAUUCAUAUGGGAAGAGUUAACAUAGCUGGACAGAGGAUGCUAUGGACGUAUGCUCUGAAUGGAGACACCCAAUAUCCAGAUAUAAUAUGGUGACAUAUACAACCGAGGUCAAACAAACUGUGAAACUGGUAAUGAUCCGGGAUAAAUAUGAAAAAUAAAAGUAUCAUAUUUCCACUAUGCCAGUGAGGAGUUUAGCCAUGCUAGGAGUGCAAUGACCGAGGUUUACAUGCUGAAACACUUGCACCUGGUCAGUCUGUUCACUAGAUUAAAGCAGAGUGUGGGAAUCUUCUAAAUGGAAUGGAAUGAAGAUCAACAGCACCACGUUGGCUAUAGACAGAGCCCGUUACACCUUGUCACCCUUCCAAAUGACAAUAAAACACAACUUGCAUGAAAAGCAUCCCCACCAACCUAUGCAUAAUGAGGUAUCCCCCCAACAUCUUGUGUUAUUUCCACUCCAAAUUAUUGUGAAAUACUUAAGGCAUUUCAACUCAGAGCCUCCUAUGUGAAGUAGCAACCCUCCUUGUCUGUCUGUAGUUUUUUGGAUGGAAGGGUUUGGACAAAGGGAAAUAAAAAACACAACACACAGUCAAGUCAACCACCAAGAGAACACAAGGAAGCAUGAAGAUACAUGUAACCGAACACAAGCUAAGCUAGAACAAGGAGACCCCACACCACCAAAUCUAUUUCAGACAACGCCAUAGUGCAUUAACAAAACAAGCUAGAUUAUUGCAACAAUAAAUGUUUUCUGCAGCAUUGCAGCCAUUUCUUCAAAAUGGUAAGACAUGGACAAGGACUUGGUCCAAUGUCCAAAUUAGCAUGAGUGCUCAAAACAAAUUGAUAGAAAGAAAACUGAAAUGAAGAAAGGACUAAUAACAAAUCAAAUAAUUCUAAAUACUAAGAAUAAUUGUUUGGUAUUUUUAAAUUAUUGGCUUUUUCUCCCUUUAACCCUCUUUCAAGUGAACUACACCAACAUGAUUCAUGCACGAUAUAGGGAAAACAGCUUCCAUCACUGAACAGUUUACAGUUGCUCUAGCAAUACCAUACGACUACCAUCAUGGGGGACCAUCUUACACAUUCCAGAACACAGAACAAAGGCUUACGAGUUGGAUCUCUCCCUGGGACACCAGCUGUAUUCUUGUAUCGAAAAACGGGAACAACUGAGAUUGAAAGGAAGGGAACCGAAACACAAUGGAGGUUGUUUGCUAUGUACUGUAUAAAUCACAUGGGUUUGUUCUGUAGGCAAUAAGGUCCUGGUAUA
Molecule: RNA transcript, 6652 nt
Organism: Oncorhynchus nerka (sockeye salmon)
Lineage: Eukaryota; Metazoa; Chordata; Actinopteri; Salmoniformes; Salmonidae
Gene name: lipoxygenase homology domain-containing protein 1-like
Exons: 3
Source: RefSeq, a predicted model, not a curated record